Molecule: ribosomal RNA, 715 nt
Filed under: uncultured crenarchaeote
Lineage: Archaea; Thermoproteati; Thermoproteota
Description: partial 16S ribosomal RNA
Rfam family: Archaeal small subunit ribosomal RNA
Source: RNAcentral
UCCGGUUGAUCCUGCCGGACCCGACUGCUAUCGGAUUGAGAUUUAGCCAUGCGAGUCGAACGUCCCCCUGUUGCGGGGAGCGUGGCGUACGGCUCAGUAACACGUAGUCAACCUGCCCUGGAGACAAGGACAACCCCGGGAAACUGGGAUUAAUCCUUGAUAGGUCAUCUCAUCUGGAAGGAGAGAUGGCUUAAAGGGGUACGCGGGCUUCUUCCGCGAAUCCGCUCCAGGAUGGGACUGCGUCCGAUCAGGCUGUUGGCGGGGUAAUGGCCCACCAAACCUGUAACCGGUGCGGGCCUUGAGAGAGGUGGCCCGGAGAUGGACACUGAGAGAAGGGUCCAGGUCCUACGGGGCGCAGCAGGCGCGAAACCUUCGCAAUGCGCGAAAGCGUGACGAGGUUAAUCCGAGUGGCCCCCGCUGAGGGGGUCUUUUGUCAGCUGUAAAUAGGCAGGCGAAUAANGGGAGGCAAGCCUGGUGUCAACCCGCCGCGGUAAUACCAGCUUCCUCGAGUGGUCGGGGCGAUUAUUGGGCCUUAAAGCAUUCCNUAACCGGUUCCGUAAGUCCCNCUGGUUAAAUCCAACCGCUNNACNGUUNGACCUNGCANAAGGAUACCNCGGGAAUAAGGANGCNGGAAAAGNNGACGGUACUCCCCNGUANGGGGUAAAANCUUUUGAUCCCGGAAAACCCNACNGGGAAAGNGGUCCNCCAAAACCNC